RNAcentral lists this ribosomal RNA (429 nucleotides) under Pseudomonadota bacterium. RNAcentral's name for it is "Proteobacteria bacterium partial 16S ribosomal RNA". It matches the Rfam family "Bacterial small subunit ribosomal RNA", at positions 355 to 776 of the family's 1533-position model. The record is from RNAcentral. Lineage: Bacteria; Pseudomonadati; Pseudomonadota.
UGGGGAAUAUUGGACAAUGGGCGAAAGCCUGAUCCAGCCAUGCCGCGUGUGUGAAGAAGGUCUUCGGAUUGUAAAGCACUUUAAGUUGGGAGGAAGGGCAGUAAGCGAAUACCUUGCUGUUUUGACGUUACCGACAGAAUAAGCACCGGCUAACUCUGUGCCAGCAGCCGCGGUAAUACAGAGGGUGCAAGCGUUAAUCGGAAUUACUGGGCGUAAAGCGCGCGUAGGUGGUUCGUUAAGUUGAAUGUGAAAGCCCCGGGCUCAACCUGCGAACUGCGUCCAAAACUGGCGAGCGAGAGUAGGGCAGAGGGUGGUGGAAUUUCCUGUGUAGCGGAGACAUGCGUAGAUAUAGGAAGGAACACCAGUGGCGAAGGCGACCACCUGUGCUCAUACUGACACUGAGGUGCGAAAGCGUAGGGAGCAAACAGG